RNAcentral lists this long non-coding RNA (685 nucleotides) under Oryza sativa Indica Group (long-grained rice). RNAcentral's name for it is "lncRNA OsZS97_08G010530". The record is from RNAcentral. Lineage: Eukaryota; Viridiplantae; Streptophyta; Magnoliopsida; Poales; Poaceae.
AUGGAGGAAAAGAAAAAGGAGAAAGAUAAACAAUUUAGUACACAGGUGAUACACAAUGUCAUAUCAGUCAGCGGCUCAUGUGUUUGGGGAUUAGAGGGGAGGAGGAAGUUGUCGUGGGAUGUGGGAGGUCAAGAGAAAGAGUCCUAUCGCCAUGGCGCCGUGAUGCGCCAAGGAGAACGAGAGGUAUUUGGGUUUUCUGUUUUCUAUCUGAUUAAGUCCAGAGCACUCGAAUCGGCCAUGGUCGGAAGCGCCGCGUUUUUCCUCCACACUAGGUGCUUAGUGCUCGAGGAAGGCCAACAUCUUGGCAGCUCAACCACGCUCAAGCCAACAGAAGCUCUGUGCUCGAGCUACAGGCCAUCUUGCCUCCACGGCUCCAUCCCUCUCUCCCAGAGAUCAAACACCACUGCUGCUGCCCUCCAGAUUGUUCUUGCAGCUGCCCUCGAGUUCACUCCCCAGUCACAAUCGAGCACAUCAGCUGCCACCACAGUUGCUGCCGAGAUCGUUCACCAUGUCACCCUCCAGCCCGCCUGCCACUGUACCAUGGUGAUUUCUUGUGCAAAAGGAACGGUAGGAAGAGGGUGUGUGGAGGAGGAAGAAAACAUAAGGGCAAGAGGAAUAAGUGGCAGCAGUUCUAAAGGAGUGGGAGUAACGGAGAUAAACUUUCGAUGCUAUUAAGGGCCUGUUU